RNAcentral lists this long non-coding RNA (2038 nucleotides) under Orbicella faveolata. Its description in RNAcentral is "uncharacterized LOC110065482". The record is from RNAcentral. Lineage: Eukaryota; Metazoa; Cnidaria; Anthozoa; Scleractinia; Merulinidae.
GACCGAAUUCUUCCUCACACACAAAUCCAAAAUGAGCGGUGAUUGUUGCAUUUACAAAUUCUCCCGGUGUAAUUGCAAUUGCAAUAUCGCGUUAAUUAACGUUCAUUCGUCGAGUUUAAUACUGACUUGCAAAACUUAAUUACUGAUUUUAAAAGACCUUAAAAGUGAGUCUGAAUGGAGAUAGAAUACAGGCUUCGUUACACUUGUAGUACCGGACAAGACAUAUGUAAGAAAUUAAGUGACAAAUUUUAAAUUACUGAUUUUAAAAGACCUCCGAAGUAAGUCUAAAUGGAGAUAAAUUACAGGGUUCGUUACAUAAGCAGUGCCGGGCAAGAGAUAGAUAAGAGAACAACUGACAAAUUUCUUAAUCCAAUUUGUAAUUUUCCAACUCAGUUUCCAUUUACUUUUGAUUUCUUGUACAGUGAUAACACUCAAACGUCGAGUCAUUUAAUCAAUGUGGUUAAUUUAAACUUUUUUUCAGUCUAAGGGCCUUGUGUCUGCUCUCAUCUAACCAGUUUUAGAAUUGGCACUCGUACGGAGAUAUUUAAUUUUACCACCAAAUUGGGUCUCAAUCUCACCAUAAUAGCUUAUCUGCAACAAAACCAAGGUUUGAGCACACAGCUGACAUUAAUACCCGCAAUUCCAUCCAGACGGUAACAAGCUUAAUUGUUUCGGCCAUUCUACAUGACAAACUAAACCUCUCUACCAAACCCCCUAUCGUUUAGGAAAUAGCGUUAAUCACACCACCCACGCGUGGGUCAUCCGGCAAAUUACAUCCGUGAAGACAAAACUAAUGGGGCUAACACAAUGUGCUGUAUGAGGAUAACUGAUUACUAAAAUGGUUUUCCGAAUUGGCAGCCAGAGUUUUAAUCUAAUUAUAUCCCAAAUUGGACGACAAUACUAGGAGACCACAUCAGUGUAAUUACCAAGAGUGGCUCUAAACUACAAUGAGCGGGUGCUAAAAUACUUUAUGACGGAUACAUGACAGCCCAAAUGGUUUUCCAGUUUGAUUGGUCGAGAGCUCAAAGCCAAGUUGUUAACCAGCAAUUGAAGUCUGUGUAAUAGAGAUUAAAAGUGCGUUUUUUGUUCAAAUUUUGCGAUGAAAUAUUAAGGAUCACGAAAUACGUAUCUUGAUUUCUGUGACCACCAGAAGAUCCAUUUAGAACGGAAAUGCUGGGGUUUAUAAUUUUCAUUGCAUCGCUUGCUUGGCGUCUGGUGGCAGCAGAGCUCCUUGUAGUACACGCCAGUUCCGAGAGCAAAGAGUACUGGGUACCAAGGGAACACGUGACCUUAGGUGUUCAGGACACCGACACGAUAAAGUACCUGGUGGAUCAACUGUGCACGAUCUUUCACCGGUCCAGAAAAAUGGCCCUUCACAAGGAAAACUACCCGUGUAGAAGCCGCUCGAAUUCUCUCAUGUUAUUCAAUCCAGCGACCAAAGCAGAAUACAGAUUCAUCAAUUCUACGCUUAAACAGUACAAAAUCAAGAAUGGGACGCGCUUGUACUUGUAUUACUCUUAAAGCAUCUGAGUCACUUGUAGGGAUAUUUCGUGUAAGCUUACUGGGGCACUGGAUAGCCAUUACGAAGGUCGGUCGUCAUGCAACGGUCUUGUGUAAGUGUUGCAUGACGCGUGACGUCUGGAAUCAAGGCCGUGAAGGAGACGGAACACCAUUUGGUUAAUUCACGAAUAAAAGCGUGGUUAAUAGAUGACAAAACAAAAGAAAACUGAACACUGAUCCUUGAAAGGCAAAGCAUCUUUGAAUUCGUUCUGCACAAGAUUGUACAACCUAGGGGUGCGAAAAAAUUUCGUGCUCCAGAAUAUUUCCACCACUCCCUCCCCCACGCCCCUAAAAAAAAAAAAAACAAAACAAAACAAAUUUGGUCCGUCCCUUAUCAUUGCAACUGUUGCAUCCGAGACGUAACAGGAUGGCGCAUGGCCAGCAGACAGUCGCCUAUUGGCCAGGCCAGGUAUUUACUCGGGUUCAAAUCAGAGAACACUGUACUAGUAAACUGUUCUGAAAAAGAAAACAGAGAUUG